GGGCCCGUAGCUCAGCUGGCUAGAGCGCUUGCAUGGCAUGCAAGAGGUCACGAGUUCAAAUCUCGUCGGGUCCA
Molecule: transfer RNA, 74 nt
Filed under: Patescibacteria group bacterium
Lineage: Bacteria
Also listed under: 1 other name
Description: tRNA-Ala
Rfam family: tRNA
About the family: Transfer RNA (tRNA) molecules are approximately 80 nucleotides in length.
Source: RNAcentral